This 102-nucleotide ribosomal RNA is filed under the name uncultured bacterium. Its description in RNAcentral is "partial 16S ribosomal RNA". It matches the Rfam family "Bacterial small subunit ribosomal RNA", at positions 1369 to 1482 of the family's 1533-position model. The record is from RNAcentral.
CGUUCUCGGGUCUUGUACACACCGCCCGUCAAGUGAGCCGAGUCGGGGGUAGCUGAAGCGGCUAGAUAACUAGUUUCGAGGCUAAAUCCGGCAAGGAGCGCU